This 277-nucleotide ribosomal RNA is filed under the name uncultured soil bacterium. RNAcentral's name for it is "partial 16S ribosomal RNA". It matches the Rfam family "Bacterial small subunit ribosomal RNA", at positions 26 to 285 of the family's 1533-position model. The record is from RNAcentral.
AGAAUCAACGCUGGCGGCUUGCCGUCAGACAUGCAAGUCGAACGCGAAAGUCCCCUUCGGGGGGCAAGUAGAGUGGCGCACGGGUGAGUAACACGUAGGUAAUCUACCUUCGGAUGGGGAAUAACAACCGGAAACGGUUGCUAAUACCGCAUAAUGCAGCGGCACCUAAUGGUGACAGUUGUUAAAGCGGGGGAUCGAAAGACCUCGCGUCUGAAGAGGAGCCUGCGGCGGAUUAGCUAGUUGGUAAGGUAAUGGCUUACCAAGGCGACGAUCCGUA